Molecule: transfer RNA, 72 nt
Filed under: Mammaliicoccus lentus
Lineage: Bacteria; Bacillati; Bacillota; Bacilli; Caryophanales; Staphylococcaceae
Also listed under: 1 other name
Description: tRNA-Glu
Rfam family: tRNA
About the family: Transfer RNA (tRNA) molecules are approximately 80 nucleotides in length. Their secondary structure includes four short double-helical elements and three loops (D, anti-codon, and T loops).
Source: RNAcentral
GGCCCCUUGGUCAAGCGGUUAAGACACCGCCCUUUCACGGCGGUAACACGGGUUCGAGUCCCGUCGGGGUCA